RNAcentral lists this ribosomal RNA (433 nucleotides) under uncultured bacterium. Its description in RNAcentral is "partial 16S ribosomal RNA". It matches the Rfam family "Bacterial small subunit ribosomal RNA", at positions 29 to 507 of the family's 1533-position model. The record is from RNAcentral.
AACGAACGCUGGCGGCAUGCCUAACACAUGCAAGUCGAACGAGACCUUCGGGUCUAGUGGCGCACGGGUGCGUAACGCGUGGGAACCUGCCUUUAGGUUCGGAAUAACUCAGAGAAAUUUGAGCUAAUACCGGAUGAUGUCUUCGGACCAAAGAUUUAUCGCCUUUGGAUGGGCCCGCGUUGGAUUAGCUAGUUGGUGGGGUAAAGGCCUACCAAGGCGACGAUCCAUAGCUGGUCUGAGAGGAUGAUCAGCCACACUGGGACUGAGACACGGCCCAGACUCCUACGGGAGGCAGCAGUGGGGAAUAUUGGACAAUGGGCGAAAGUCUGAUCCAGCAAUGCCGCGUGAGUGAUGAAGGCGUUAGGGUUGUAAAGCUCUUUUACCCGAGAUGAUAAUGACAGUAUCGGGAGAAUAAGCUCCGGCUAACUCCGUG